This 484-nucleotide ribosomal RNA is filed under the name Chaetogonopteron sp. 2 SNK-2009. RNAcentral describes it as "partial 16S ribosomal RNA". It matches the Rfam family "Bacterial large subunit ribosomal RNA", at positions 1911 to 2604 of the family's 2925-position model. Lineage: Eukaryota; Metazoa; Arthropoda; Insecta; Diptera; Dolichopodidae. The record is from RNAcentral.
CCCUGAUAUUUAUUUAAUGGCCGCAGUAUUUUAACUGUGCAAAGGUAGCAUAAUCAUUAGUUUUUUAAUUGAAGGCUGGAAUGAAUGAUUGGACGAGAUAUAAGCUGUCUCAUAAAAAUUUUUAUAGAAUUUAAUUUUUUAGUAAAAAAGCUAAAAUUUUUUUAAAAGACGAGAAGACCCUUUAGAUCUUUAUAUAAUAAUUUAUUAUUUUUUUUUUGUUUUAUUAUAAAUUAAUAAUUUAUUAUAUUUUGUUGGGGUGACAUUGAAAUUUAAUAAACUUUCAAAAUUUAAAUCCAUUAAUUAAUGAAUUAAUGAUCCUUUAUUAAUGAUUAAAAAUUUAAGUUACCUAAGGGAUAACAGCGUAAUUAUUUUGGAGAGUUCUUAUCAAUAAAAUAGAUUGCGACCUCGAUGUUGGAUUAAGAUUAAUUUUGGGUGUAGCAGUUCAAUAAAUUAAGUCUGUUCGACUUUUAAUUUCUUACAUGAC